AGACAGUUCGGUCCCUAUCUGCCGUGGGCGCUGGAGAAUUGAGGGGGGCUGCUCCUAGUACGAGAGGACCGGAGUGGACGCAUCACUGGUGUUCGGGUUGUCAUGCCAAUGGCACUGCCCGGUAGCUAAAUGCGGAAGAGAUAAGUGCUGAAAGCAUCUAAGCACGAAACUUGCCCCGAGAUGAGUUCUCCCUGAGACUUUAAGUCUCCUGAAGGAACGUUGAAGACGACGACGUUGAUAGGCCGGGUGUGUAAGCGCAGCGAUGCGUUGAGCUAACCGGUACUAAUGAACCGUGAGGCUUAACCUU
This 307-nucleotide ribosomal RNA is filed under the name Pseudomonas aeruginosa. RNAcentral's name for it is "partial 23S ribosomal RNA". It matches the Rfam family "Bacterial large subunit ribosomal RNA", at positions 2624 to 2925 of the family's 2925-position model. The record is from RNAcentral. Lineage: Bacteria; Pseudomonadati; Pseudomonadota; Gammaproteobacteria; Pseudomonadales; Pseudomonadaceae.